GGCGUGAUGGCAGAGCGGUCUAAUGCGUGUGACUAGAAUCCGUUUCUCAGAAACAAAUGCUAUCACAUCUCUUCGGAGGCGCAGGUUCAAAUCCUGCUCACGUCG
This 105-nucleotide transfer RNA is filed under the name Lachnellula cervina. It matches the Rfam family "tRNA". Rfam says of the family: Transfer RNA (tRNA) molecules are approximately 80 nucleotides in length. Their secondary structure includes four short double-helical elements and three loops (D, anti-codon, and T loops). The record is from Rfam by way of RNAcentral. Lineage: Eukaryota; Fungi; Ascomycota; Leotiomycetes; Helotiales; Lachnaceae.